AGAUUGAACGCUGGCGGCAUGCCUAACACAUGCAAGUCGAACGGGAGUAGCAAUACUCUAGUGGCGGACGGGUGAGGAAUACGUAGGAAUUUGCCCUUAAGUGGGGGAUAACCCGGGAACCCGGAUUAAUACCGCAUGACCUCGAAAGAGCAAAGUGGGGGAUCGCAAGACCUCACGCUUUUGGAGAAGCCUACGUCGGAUUAGCUAGUUGGUGAGGUAAUGGCUCACCAAGGCGACGAUCCGUAACUGGUCUGAGAGGAUGAUCAGUCACACCGGACU
RNAcentral lists this ribosomal RNA (279 nucleotides) under uncultured soil bacterium. RNAcentral describes it as "partial 16S ribosomal RNA". It matches the Rfam family "Bacterial small subunit ribosomal RNA", at positions 26 to 319 of the family's 1533-position model. The record is from RNAcentral.